RNAcentral lists this ribosomal RNA (349 nucleotides) under Providencia rettgeri. Its description in RNAcentral is "partial 23S ribosomal RNA". It matches the Rfam family "Bacterial large subunit ribosomal RNA", at positions 1790 to 2136 of the family's 2925-position model. Lineage: Bacteria; Pseudomonadati; Pseudomonadota; Gammaproteobacteria; Enterobacterales; Morganellaceae. The record is from RNAcentral.
CUGGCUGCAACUGUUUAUUAAAAACACAGCACUGUGCAAACACGAAAGUGGACGUAUACGGUGUGACGCCUGCCCGGUGCUGGAAGGUUAAUUGAUGGGGUUAUCCGUAAGGAGAAGCUCUUGAUCGAAGCCCCAGUAAACGGCGGCCGUAACUAUAACGGUCCUAAGGUAGCGAAAUUCCUUGUCGGGUAAGUUCCGACCUGCACGAAUGGCGUAAUGAUGGCCAGGCUGUCUCCACCCGAGACUCAGUGAAAUUGAACUCGCUGUGAAGAUGCAGUGUACCCGCGGCAAGACGGAAAGACCCCGUGAACCUUUACUAUAGCUUGACACUGAACAUUGAGCCUUGAUG